AUGAACGCUGGCGGCGUGCCUAAUACAUGCAAGUCGAGCGAACAGACGAGGAGCUUGCUCCUCUGACGUUAGCGGCGGACGGGUGAGUAACGCGUGGAUAACCUACCUAUAAGACUGGGAUAACUUCGGGAAACCGGAGCUAAUACCGGAUAAUAUAUUGAACCGCAUGGUUCAAUAGUGAAAGACGGUUUUGCUGUCACUUAUAGAUGGAUCCGCGCCGCAUUAGCUAGUUGGUAAGGUAACGGCUUACCAAGGCAACGAUGCGUAGCCGACCUGAGAGGGUGAUCGGCCACACUGGAACUGAGACACGGUCCAGACUCCUACGGGAGGCAGCAGUAGGGAAUCUUCCGCAAUGGGCGAAAGCCUGACGGAGCAACGCCGCGUGAGUGAUGAAGGUCUUCGGAUCGUAAAACUCUGUUAUUAGGGAAGAACAAAUGUGUAAGUAACUAUGCACGUCUUGACGGUACCUAAUCAGAAAGCCACGGCUAACUACGUG
Molecule: ribosomal RNA, 496 nt
Filed under: uncultured bacterium
Lineage: Bacteria
Description: partial 16S ribosomal RNA
Rfam family: Bacterial small subunit ribosomal RNA
Source: RNAcentral